GCCGGCGUGGCGGAAUGGCAGACGCUGAGGACUUAAAAUCCUCUUCGGGGGAACCCGAGUGUGGGUUCGAAUCCCACCGCCGGUA
This 85-nucleotide transfer RNA is filed under the name Paludisphaera borealis. It matches the Rfam family "tRNA". From Rfam's summary of the family: Transfer RNA (tRNA) molecules are approximately 80 nucleotides in length. Their secondary structure includes four short double-helical elements and three loops (D, anti-codon, and T loops). The record is from Rfam by way of RNAcentral. Lineage: Bacteria; Pseudomonadati; Planctomycetota; Planctomycetia; Isosphaerales; Isosphaeraceae.